This 91-nucleotide transfer RNA is filed under the name Cronartium ribicola 11-2. RNAcentral's name for it is "tRNA-Ala (AGC) (tRNA-Ala-AGC-181-1)". It matches the Rfam family "tRNA". From Rfam's summary of the family: Transfer RNA (tRNA) molecules are approximately 80 nucleotides in length. Their secondary structure includes four short double-helical elements and three loops (D, anti-codon, and T loops). The record is from RNAcentral. Lineage: Eukaryota; Fungi; Basidiomycota; Pucciniomycetes; Pucciniales; Coleosporiaceae.
GACUGGAUAGCCUAGUGGUUAAAGGCAGCACAGCUAGCAUUGUGUUUUAGCUUACUUGCUGAGUUCCUAGGUUCAAAUCCUGGUCUGGUCA